UACGAAGGGGGCUAGCGUUGCUCGGAAUCACUGGGCGUAAAGCGCACGUAGGCGGAUUGCUAAGUCAGGGGUGAAAUCCUGGAGCUCAACUCCAGAACUGCCUUUGAUACUGGUGAUCUUGAGUCCGGGAGAGGUGAGUGGAACUGCGAGUGUAGAGGUGAAAUUCGUAGAUAUCUGGAGGAACACCGGUGGCGAAGGCGGCAUCCUGGACCGACACUGACGCUGAGGAGCGAAAGCCAGGGGAGCAAACGGG
This 253-nucleotide ribosomal RNA is filed under the name uncultured bacterium. Its description in RNAcentral is "partial 16S ribosomal RNA". It matches the Rfam family "Bacterial small subunit ribosomal RNA", at positions 524 to 776 of the family's 1533-position model. The record is from RNAcentral.